GAUUAUGGCUCAGGAUGAACGCUGGCGGCACGCUUAACACAUGCAAGUCGAACGAAGAAAGUAUUUCGGAUUUCUUAGUGGCGGACGGGUGAGUAACACGUGAGUAACCUGCCUCAGAGUGGGGAAUAACACACCGAAAGGUGUGCUAACACCGCAUAAUGUCACCGGAUGGCAUCAUCUGGUGACCAAAGGAGCAAUUCGCUUUGAGAUGGACUCGCGCCCGAUUAGGCAGUUGGUGGGGUAAUGGCCUACCAAACCUAUGAUCGGUAGCCGGACUGAGAGGUUGGCCGGCCACAUUGGGACUGAGACACGGCCCAGACUCCUACGGGAGGCAGCAGUGGGGGAUAUUAGGCAAUGGGGGGAAAAACCCCUGACCUAGCGAUGCCGCGCGAGGGAAGAAGGUCUUCGGAUUGUAAACCUCUGUCUUCGGGGAAGAUUAUGACGGUACCCGAGGAGGAAGCCCCGGCUAACUACGUGCCAGCAGCGGC
RNAcentral lists this ribosomal RNA (488 nucleotides) under uncultured bacterium. Its description in RNAcentral is "bacterial SSU rRNA". It matches the Rfam family "Bacterial small subunit ribosomal RNA", at positions 15 to 518 of the family's 1533-position model. The record is from RNAcentral.